Malus domestica (apple) is the source of this 970-nucleotide non-coding RNA. The record is from RefSeq and is a predicted model, not a curated record. NCBI's taxonomy places the organism in Eukaryota, Viridiplantae, Streptophyta, Magnoliopsida, Rosales, Rosaceae.
GGCUCUAGGAGCGGAUUCCUUUCCACCAAAUUCACCUAAUUAUGAAUCCGGAUUGUUGAAAUUUGAUUCAACAGUUAUAAUUAUUAUAAUUAAAGGAACCUCUUAUUUAUAAUCGUUGGAUCAAAUUUCAACGUUCUGGAUUCCGGAUUAGGUGGAUUUGAUAUAAAUGGAUCUUCUUGGAUCCCUUUCCUCUAGGAGCUGCAACUUUUGGCCACCAAACACCUGACUGACACGUGUACUUUCCUAUAAAAAAACUGGGUGCGUAUAGAAAAAUGAUAUAUUGCAAGAGCUUUCUACAACACGAAGUUUCUUUCUCACAACUUUUUCCAGUUUCAACCCUUAUUUUAAGUUACUGAGAUUUCCAUGACCCCGUUUGAUCAUUGCGCCAGUCUCAUCGAGCAGCAAUGCAUUUGGCGAAAAGGGCUCGAACGGCGGAGAUGUACAGUUUUUCGCGGAUGAAUAUGAAUCAGAAGCUCACACGACGAUAUCGCAUCAGAAAUGUUGGGAAACUGAUUGAAAUUGCUCACCGAAAUCUUGUUCCACAGAUGAUCAAGUGUACACACUCAAGAAUUAUUAUUAUCAGUUGAAACCAGAUGAUGUUAUUUCAUGCUCUGCCAUUCUGAUGUGAUUGAUCAAUCAAACAGGUGGCUAGCUACUGCUCCGUUUGAUCAGUAACCCUCUGGUGAUCAUUUUGGUUGAAAGCAGAAGACAUGAGCACAGCAGAGUCCCAGCCAAAUGUUGACGGCGCCAUAGUACUAGCACUAGUCAUAGAAAUCAAAGGAACGUGGUCGGAACCAGCACCAGCUGCGUGUGUACUAACAUUCCCAUUGUGCAGUACCUGUUGUUGCAAUUGGUGUUGUACAGAAAAUGGAUCCUCGUUGAUCAACGAAUUCAGAAACGAAGAGAAGACGUCGUCCGCACAACAGUUGAUGUCCUCGUCCUCUUCAUUUCCUCCUCCCCCAAGUAGUAC